UACGGAGGGAGCUAGCGUUGUUCGGAAUUACUGGGCGUAAAGCGCACGUAGGCGGCUUUGUAAGUUAGAGGUGAAAGCCCGGGGCUCAACCCCGGAAUUGCCUUUAAGACUGCAUCGCUUGAAUCCGGGAGAGGUGAGUGGAAUUCCGAGUGUAGAGGUGAAAUUCGUAGAUAUUCGGAAGAACACCAGUGGCGAAGGCGGCUCACUGGACCGGUAUUUGACGCU
RNAcentral lists this ribosomal RNA (225 nucleotides) under uncultured bacterium. Its description in RNAcentral is "partial 16S ribosomal RNA". It matches the Rfam family "Bacterial small subunit ribosomal RNA", at positions 524 to 747 of the family's 1533-position model. The record is from RNAcentral.